AAGCGUUAUCCGGAAUUACUGGCGUAAGGGCGUCUAGGCGGUCGGUCAAGUCAGUCGUGAAAGUCCUUGGCUAAACUGAGGAAAGUCGACCGAUACUGAUCGACUAGAGGGACGUAGAGGUAAGCGGAACUCUCGGAGUAGCGGUGAAAUGCGUAGAGACCGAGAGGUACCCCGAUGGUGAAGACAGCUUACUGGGCGUCUCCUGACGCUGAAGCGCUAAGGCCAGGGGAGCGAAGGGGAUUAGAUACCCCCGUAGUCCUGGCUUCAAACUAUGUGGGCUUGGUGUCGGCUCCCGAUAGAGAGUCGUUGCCGGAGCUAACGUGUUAAGCCCACCGCCUGGGGAUUGCGUCCGCAAGGAUGAAACUCAAGGGAAUUGACGGGGGCCCACACAACCGGUGGAGCACGUGGUUUAAUUCGAUGAUAAGCGAAGAACCUUACCAGGGCUUGACCUAGCGGUGGUAGGAUCCUGAAAAGGAAACGACCUCAAGCUUUGCUUGAGGAGCCGUGGCAGGUAUUGCAUGGCUGUCGUCAGCUCGUGUCGUGGGACGUUGGGUUAAGUCCCGUAACGAGCGCAACCCCUGCCCUUAAUUGCCAGCGGGUAAUGCCGGGGACUAUAAGGGGACUGCCGGAGAAUAUCCGGAGGAAGGAGGGGAUGACGUCAAGUCAUUAUGAUCCUUAUGCUCUGGGCGACACACGUGCUACAAUGGGUACUACAGUGAGGAGCAAGUCUGCAAGGACCAGCAAAUCUCAAAAAGGUGCCCUCAGUGCGGAUUGGGGUCUGCAACUCGACCCCAUGAAGAUGGAAUCGGUAGUAAUCGCGGGUCAGCCAUACGCGGUG
RNAcentral lists this ribosomal RNA (838 nucleotides) under uncultured KB1 group bacterium. RNAcentral describes it as "bacterial SSU rRNA". It matches the Rfam family "Bacterial small subunit ribosomal RNA", at positions 536 to 1364 of the family's 1533-position model. The record is from RNAcentral. Lineage: Bacteria; Candidatus Calescibacteriota.